Cinara cedri is the source of this 657-nucleotide non-coding RNA. Lineage: Eukaryota; Metazoa; Arthropoda; Insecta; Hemiptera; Aphididae. The record is from the annotation of a GenBank genome assembly.
GAAAUGACAUUGAAAUUAAAUUAACUUAAAUUGAUUGAGCGUUGAUCAGUUAUCAAAAUUAUAAUGAAAUUAACAAAAAAUAUCCAGAUAUCACAUAAUCAACAAAAAUUGUACCUUAAAAUACCGAAAUUCCUGUGUCAGCUAUCCUUUAAGGGUUGAAUUUUAGUAAUUUCAAUGGCUAUAAAUCUUUUCCGGACCACUAAAAUUGUUUGUAAAAAACUCAGUUAAAAUUGGUCCAGUAGUUUUUGAGUCUAAAUGAUGUACAGACAGACAGAUAGACAUUAUUUUUAUAUAUAAAGAUAGGUUGAUUUAUAUUUUAAAUGUUAUUAUCGUGAAAAAUAAUAUUUAUUUAUUUUUCCGAACAAUUUAUGAAACAAGGAGCUCUAGAAUGUUACAUUGCUCAUUUAAGGUAUAUUUAAAUUCACUCUGUAAGAAUGAGUAGUACUAUUCAAAUUCCACACAAAUUCUCCACAGCUUUACUCCUACCCAAACUUAAAAGUAGAAUAUCUCUCAACUGGUAAAUAGAAAUUAAAAAUGUCAAAAAAUAAUUUAAUCUGAACAAAAGCUUAAUUUAUUUAAGGAAUUUGUAAUAUAAGUAGCUAUUUGUAAAUCUAAUGUGGGUUGUGGUUUCACUCCCUAAAAUAAUGAAAAUGUAAC